UUGAUCCUGCCGGACCUUACUGCUAUCGGGGUGGGACUAAGACAUGCGAGUCAAGCGUCUCUAGCUAUGUUGAGACGCGGCAUACGGCUCAGUAACACGUGGCUAACCUACCCUCAGGACAGGGACAACCCCGGGAAACUGGGGCUAAUACCUGAUAGGUGAGGAUGCCUGGAAUGGUUUCUCACUCAAAGGGCUUUGGAAACAUGCUUCCAUUGUCGCCUGGGGAUGGGGCCGCGACCGAUCAGGUUGUUGGUUGAGGUAACGGCUCACCAAGCCUUUAACCGGUACGGGCCGUGAGAGCGGUAGCCCGGAGAUGGGUACUGAGACAAGGACCCAGGCCCUACGGGGCGCAGCAGUCGCGAAAACUCCGCAAUGCACGAAAGUGUGACGGGGCUACCCCGAGUGCCAUCCGCUGAGGAUGGCUUUUCUUUGGUAUAACUAGCCAUUGGAAUAAGGAGAGGGCAAGACUGGUGUCAGCCGCCGCGGUAAUACCAGCUCUCCGAGUGGUAGGGAUGAUUAUUGGGCUUAAAGCGUCCGUAGCCGGCUUAGCAAGUUUCCUGUUAAACUCAGCGACUCAAUCGUUGGAUCGCGGGAAAUACUACUAGGCUAGGAGGCGGGAGAGGUCAACGGUACUUCUGGGGUAGGGGUGAAAUCCUAUAAUCCCGGGAGGACCACCAGUGGCGAAGGCUGUUGACUAGAACGCGCUCGACGGUGAGGGACGAAAGCUGGGGUAGCAAACCGGAUUAGAUACC
Molecule: ribosomal RNA, 752 nt
Filed under: uncultured Nitrososphaerota archaeon
Lineage: Archaea; Thermoproteati; Nitrososphaerota
Description: bacterial SSU rRNA
Rfam family: Archaeal small subunit ribosomal RNA
Source: RNAcentral